This 465-nucleotide ribosomal RNA is filed under the name Vreelandella stevensii. RNAcentral's name for it is "partial 16S ribosomal RNA". It matches the Rfam family "Bacterial small subunit ribosomal RNA", at positions 338 to 795 of the family's 1533-position model. The record is from RNAcentral. Lineage: Bacteria; Pseudomonadati; Pseudomonadota; Gammaproteobacteria; Oceanospirillales; Halomonadaceae.
CCUACGGGGGGCAGCAGUGGGGAAUAUUGGACAAUGGGCGAAAGCCUGAUCCAGCCAUGCCGCGUGUGUGAAGAAGGCCUUCGGGUUGUAAAGCACUUUCAGUGGGGUAGAAAGCCUUGGGGCUAAUACCCUCGAGGAAGGACAUCACCCACAGAAGAAGCACCGGCUAACUCCGUGCCAGCAGCCGCGGUAAUACGGAGGGUGCGAGCGUUAAUCGGAAUUACUGGGCGUAAAGCGCGCGUAGGCGGUCUGAUAAGCCGGUUGUGAAAGCCCCGGGCUCAACCUGGGAACGGCAUCCGGAACUGUCAGGCUAGAGUGCAGGAGAGGAAGGUAGAAUUCCCGGUGUAGCGGUGAAAUGCGUAGAGAUCGGGAGGAAUACCAGUGGCGAAGGCGGCCUUCUGGACUGACACUGACGCUGAGGUGCGAAAGCGUGGGUAGCAAACAGGAUUAGAUACCCGAGUAGUC